UACGGGAGGCAGCAGUGGGGAAUAUUGCACAAUGGGCGCAAGCCUGAUGCAGCCAUGCCGCGUGUAUGAAAAAGGCCUUCGGGUUGUAAAGUACUUUCAGUCGUGAGGAAGGUGUUAAGGUUAAUAACCUUAGCAAUUGACGUUAGCGACAGAAGAAGCACCGGCUAACUCCGUGCCAGCAGCCGCGGUAAUACGGAGGGUGCGAGCGUUAAUCGGAAUUACUGGGCGUAAAGGGCACGCAGGCGGUUAAUUAAGUUGGAUGUGAAUCCCCGGGCUUAACCUGGGAAUGGCAUUCAAGCUGGUUAGCUAGAGUCUUGUAGGAGGGGGUAGAAUUCCAUGUGUAGCGGUGAAAUGCGUAGAGAUGUGGAGGAAUACCGGUGGCGAAGGCGGCCCCUGGACAAAGACUGACGCUCAUGUGCGAAAGCGUGGGGAGCAAACGAGGAUUAGAUACC
Molecule: ribosomal RNA, 452 nt
Filed under: uncultured bacterium
Lineage: Bacteria
Description: bacterial SSU rRNA
Rfam family: Bacterial small subunit ribosomal RNA
Source: RNAcentral